CCUACGGGCGGCUGCAGUGGGGAAUAUUGCACAAUGGACGAAAGUCUGAUGCAGCGAUUCUGCGUGGAGGAUGAAGCAUUACGGUGUGUAAACUCCUUUUCUGGUAGAAGACGAAUGACGGUAUACCAGGAAUAAGGGACGGCUAACUAUGUGCCAGCAGCCGCGGUAAUACAUAGGUCCCAAGCGUUAUCCGGAUUUACUGGGCGUAAAGAGUCUGUAGCCUGAUAUGUAAGUCUGUUUUCAAAUACUCCGACUCAAUCGGAGAAAGGGGAUAGAUACUGCAUAUCUGGAAGUUAUUGGGGGUUAGUGGAAUUUCCGGUGGAGCGGUGAAAUGCGUUGAUAUCGGAAAGAACGCCGAAAGUGAAAACAGCUAACUACAAUAAACUUGACGGUCAGAGACGAAAGCUUGGGGAGCAAACGGGAUUAGAUACCCCGGUAGUC
RNAcentral lists this ribosomal RNA (441 nucleotides) under uncultured bacterium. RNAcentral describes it as "bacterial SSU rRNA". It matches the Rfam family "Bacterial small subunit ribosomal RNA", at positions 338 to 795 of the family's 1533-position model. The record is from RNAcentral.